Molecule: long non-coding RNA, 2607 nt
Organism: Serinus canaria (Common canary)
Lineage: Eukaryota; Metazoa; Chordata; Aves; Passeriformes; Fringillidae
Exons: 2
Source: RefSeq, a predicted model, not a curated record
GACACUCGCCGUGGCGGGGGGGCCGUGCCCGGCGGAGGCGGACGGGGCUGCGGCGCGAAGGGCGGCGGGGCGGCCCCGGGCUGCACCCGCGGAGGGACCUUGUCGCGGCCCGCCCGCUUCCUGGUGGCUGCGCUCCGCGUCCCUGGCGGCGUCCGCCAAGACAAAAGGUAAUUAGACGCCUCGUAAUUUGAGCACAGUGGGUGCAGUGCCGUCCUGAGAGGCAGAGAUUUCGGGUGUCAAAAUGCUCCGUCCCCCAGGGAGAGGUUGCCCUCCGGCAGCUCUCCCUCCUUCGGGCGCUCCCCUUGGAGCCCGCUGGCCGCCGCUCACCUGCCGUGGAGCUCUGCGGCCCCGCCGCGCCGGACACAGGACUCGCUUUGCAGGAUGCGUUACGCGGUGUAAAUGCUGGAUAAGGAUGAACUUCUGUUAUAAACCUGUAGAUUUGGGGUUCUAAGGCGACUUUUCUUUCCGUAGUAGAUUUCCUUAUGGGAAAGUCAUGGAUGUAGCUGGUUGCUUCAAUUCCUUUCUAGCAAAAACAAACCCCCAAAUAAAAAAAAAAAAAAAAAAAGUAAAACAGAAAUCCAAAACAAAUAAACAAAAAAAUUCCCCCAAAAAACAACAACAAUAACAACAACAAAAUCACCACAAAACCAAACAACCAACAAGUCUCCUUCCCCCCCUCCCCCCGCACCCCCAAAAAAAAAAAAAAACAAACAAAAAAAAACCAAAAAACCCAAAACAACCCACUGGUUAAAGUUCUGGUAAUAUGCUUUGCUCAAAUGUGUUUAUUUUUCUGUGUCUUAUUUUUCAGAGUUAUCAGGGGAGAAAAGAAGUAAGACAAAAUGUGCUACAUUUAAUGCCUGAUUUUAGCUUCCCCACUGCUUGCCUUCUAUAAAAGGCGGUAUCUCACAGCUGGAAAUUCACAGAAUCCUCCUAUCACAAAAAUGUAGGAAGACAUGGCCAGACGAGUUACCUGAGGUAAUUUCUGUAUCCAAAGAUGGAAUUUAGGAGGUUUCAAAAGUAAUUUUAAACUAGUCAGCUUUGGUUAAAAUUGCUGUUAAGAACUGACAGCACACUGUUUCAUAUGGUCAGCAGAAUCAACUGGGAAUCAAAAAAAUCUGUCAGGGAAUUUGGGUAGACAUUCAUCUGCUGGUUUCCAGGGAGGUCUGUGCUGCUAUAGAAAUGCUCUUACCCCUACCUGGGCUGCCCAGUUUAAAACAUUUGUGCCUACAUCAAGUACACCCACACUUCUGGCCUCAGUUUAGAUAUGGAACUGUCUCUCAACUCAUCCUGGUUGGAGCAAGGCAUUUGGUAGUUUUCACCUCAAUCAACUGUUUGGAUUUAGAACUGUGUGGGUGCCUAAUUUUAACACAGUAUGUUAACUCCUGUGAAAAUGUCCUCAUGGGAUUCUGGUUUGAGGCAGUCUGGAUUUUUUCCAGUCCCUAGUGCAUGUAAAAGUGAAGACCAAGCUGGACAGAAAGAGGACAGGAUAAAUGGUGAGCUGGUAAAUCUGAAUUCCACCCUGUUGCUAUUGCCAGUGCGUCAGAGAGGCUCAUCCCAUGGUGCCUGACAGAAGGACUGCAGGUUUAACUAUGUCUUUUGACAUAGUUAUCCUUUUACCUUGACUGGAGGGAAAUCCUGUCCUCAGCUGAGAAUAUACCAGUACUCUCAGAGAGUAAGUCCUUUUUGUUUAACUUACUGUAUGUGGACAACACAGAGUUUAGAAUAUUACUGGCCAACUGGUCAAGCUGUUCAAAGAAUAGAAUUUGCCUGAUGUCACUGAUAGUAUUAAAUAUUAAACUCUCCACAUGCUCAAUACAGGUGAUACAUUGUGUAGCAUGUUGGCAAUCAAAUCAGGUAUUACUAAGCCUUGAAGAAGUCUCACCCAGCCUUAUAAUUUGUAUUAAUUAUAUCUCUCCAUUAUUAUACCUUAUAUAACCUUUCUUCAUUCGUAGGUAAUCAUGUUCCAUGUAAACAAUUUUACUACUUUUCAGGCCUCCAUACCUACCAUUCCCCAGGUGAUCUGAUACAGGCUCUAGGAAAACAGUGUUUGUUUUGUCUGUGAAUAUCACUGUAAUUUGGUGACACUUUGUUUGCAAGCCUUAGUUCAAUAUUAUCCUUCUUGAUCCAUAUGUGGGGAUUAAUACCUCUUCUGAAAUUGCUACAUUUGCUGUUGUGUGUGUUAUUAAAUAAUUUAGGAUUCUUAAUGUCUUUGUCUCUCUUUAAACAAAAUAAAAUAUUUGUCACAGAUGAACUACCUGUCUUCUUAAAGGUCAUUCUCCCAAUGACUGUUAAGACUGUGGCCUAAAUAUUCUUGUUUUCUUUUUGUCAUAUUUAUCUUUAUUGUUUAUGAAAUGUUACUCCAUGUUACCCAGUUUGUGUUUAUAGUGUAUUAGUAUAAUUAGGCUCUACCUAGUCUAAGAAAAAGUACAACCUAUGCUAUAAACUGACCUUGUAAAACAGGCUUGCAGCCAAUAAUCUGUAUGCUUUUCUUAAGCUAACUUGAUCACCAGAAAUACAUGUUUUCCACCUUACCACUGCUAUAGCAAAGGUAGCUAUCGGCCAACUUUAACUUUCAGUAAUCAAAUAAAUUCUUAUUGUUUUAAUGCA